UACGUAGGGUGCGAGCGUUAAUCGGAAUUACUGGGCGUAAAGUGUGCGCAGGCGGCCGCGCAAGUCGAGUGUGAAAGCCCCGGGCUUAACUUGGGAAUUGCGCUCGAAACUACGUGGCUGGAGUGUGGCAGAGGAAGGUGGAAUUCCAGGUGUAGCGGUGAAAUGCGUAGAGAUCUGGAGGAACACCGAUGGCGAAGGCAGCCUUCUGGGCCAACACUGACGCUCAUGCACGAAAGCGUGGGGAGCAAACCGG
This 253-nucleotide ribosomal RNA is filed under the name uncultured bacterium. RNAcentral describes it as "partial 16S ribosomal RNA". It matches the Rfam family "Bacterial small subunit ribosomal RNA", at positions 524 to 776 of the family's 1533-position model. The record is from RNAcentral.